RNAcentral lists this ribosomal RNA (253 nucleotides) under uncultured bacterium. RNAcentral describes it as "partial 16S ribosomal RNA". It matches the Rfam family "Bacterial small subunit ribosomal RNA", at positions 524 to 776 of the family's 1533-position model. The record is from RNAcentral.
UACGUAUGGUGCAAGCGUUAUCCGGAUUUACUGGGCGUAAAGGGAGCGCAGGCGGCGCGCCAAGUCUGAUGUGAAGCCCCGGGGCUCAACCCCGGGCAUGCAUUGGAAACUGGCGGGCUGGAGUGCCGGAGAGGUAAGCGGAAUUCCUAGUGUAGCGGUGAAAUGCGUAGAUAUUAGGAGGAACACCAGUGGCGAAGGCGGCUUACUGGACGGCAACUGACGCUGAGGCUCGAAAGCGUGGGGAGCAAACAGG